GGUAGUGUGGCUGUGGGGUCUAAGGCGCUGGAUUUAGUCUCCAGUCUCUUCGGGGGUGUGGGUUUGAAUCCCACCGCUGCCA
This is a non-coding RNA of Danio rerio (zebrafish), 82 nucleotides long. The record is from Rfam. NCBI's taxonomy places the organism in Eukaryota, Metazoa, Chordata, Actinopteri, Cypriniformes, Danionidae.